Molecule: transfer RNA, 72 nt
Filed under: Sus scrofa (pig)
Lineage: Eukaryota; Metazoa; Chordata; Mammalia; Artiodactyla; Suidae
Rfam family: tRNA
About the family: Transfer RNA (tRNA) molecules are approximately 80 nucleotides in length. Their secondary structure includes four short double-helical elements and three loops (D, anti-codon, and T loops). Further hydrogen bonds mediate the characteristic L-shaped molecular structure. tRNAs have two regions of fundamental functional importance: the anti-codon, which is responsible for specific mRNA codon recognition, and the 3' end, to which the tRNAs corresponding amino acid is attached (by aminoacyl-tRNA synthetases). tRNAs cope with the degeneracy of the genetic code in two manners: having more than one tRNA (with a specific anti-codon) for a particular amino acid; and 'wobble' base-pairing, i.e. permitting non-standard base-pairing at the 3rd anti-codon position.
Source: Rfam by way of RNAcentral
UCCCUGGUGGUCUAAUGGUUAGGAUUUGGUACUUUCACUGCUAUGGCCCAGGUUUAAUUCCUCGUCUGGGAA